This 66-nucleotide transfer RNA is filed under the name Heliconius cydno. RNAcentral describes it as "tRNA-Pro". The record is from RNAcentral. RNAcentral also lists the same sequence under 3 other names. Lineage: Eukaryota; Metazoa; Arthropoda; Insecta; Lepidoptera; Nymphalidae.
CAAAGAAUAGUUUUUUUAAAAAUAAUAAUUUUGGAGAUUAUAGAUAAAGAUAAUCUUUUUCUUUGA